AUCUAAAUUCCAAACUUUGUUGGGUAAUGGGAACCUGGCAGUCAUCAAUUUUCAUCACCAGACAAAGUUUGGGCUUUAAA
Molecule: microRNA precursor, 80 nt
Filed under: Puccinia sorghi
Lineage: Eukaryota; Fungi; Basidiomycota; Pucciniomycetes; Pucciniales; Pucciniaceae
Description: mir-3
Source: RNAcentral